AUUGUGCCAGCAGCCGCGGUAAUACGUAGGUGGCAAGCGUUGUCCGGAAUUAUUGGGCGUAAAGCGCGCGCAGGCGGUUCCUUAAGUCUGAUGCGAAAGCCCACGGCUCAACCGUGGAGGGUCAUUGGAAACUGGGGAACUGGAGUACAGAAGAGGAGAGCGGAAUUCCACGUGUAGCGGUGAAAUGCGUAGAUAUGUGGAGGAACACCAGUGGCGAAGGCGGCUCUCUGGUCUGUAACUGACGCUGAGGCGCGAAAGCGUGGGGAGCGAACAGGAUUAGAUACCCUGGUAGUCCACGCCGUAAACGAUGAGUGCUAGGUGUUAGGGGGUCCAACCCUUAGUGCUGCAGUUAACGCAAUAAGCACUCCGCCUGGGGAGUACGGCCGCAAGGCUGAAACUCAAAGGAAUUGACGGGGGCCCGCACAAGCGGUGGAGCAUGUGGUUUAAUUCGAAGCAACGCGAAGAACCUUACCAGGUCUUGACAUCUUCGGAACGCCCUAGAGAUAGGGUUUUCCCUUCGGGGACCGAAUGACAGGUGGUGCAUGGUUGUCGUCAGCUCGUGUCGUGAGAUGUUGGGUUAAGUCCCGCAACGAGCGCAACCCUUGACCUUAGUUGCCAGCAUUCAGUUGGGCACUCUAAGGUGACUGCCGGUGACAAACCGGAGGAAGGUGGGGAUGGCGUCAAAUCAUCAUGCCCCUUAUGACCUGGGCUACACACGUGCUACAAUGGAUGGUACAAAGGGAAGCAAGCCCGCGAGGUGGAGCGAAUCCCAGAAAGCCAUUCUCAGUUCGGAUUGCAGGCUGCAACUCGCCUGCAUGAAGCCGGAAUCGCUAGUAAUCGUGGAUCAGCAUGCCACGGUGAAUACGUUCCCG
RNAcentral lists this ribosomal RNA (872 nucleotides) under uncultured bacterium. Its description in RNAcentral is "bacterial SSU rRNA". It matches the Rfam family "Bacterial small subunit ribosomal RNA", at positions 502 to 1376 of the family's 1533-position model. The record is from RNAcentral.